This 684-nucleotide ribosomal RNA is filed under the name Triticum aestivum (bread wheat). RNAcentral's name for it is "partial small subunit ribosomal RNA". The record is from RNAcentral. Lineage: Eukaryota; Viridiplantae; Streptophyta; Magnoliopsida; Poales; Poaceae.
AUGCAAGCAUGUUCCUUAUUACUUGGUAGACCAUGGCAAUUUGAUAAAAAUUCUGUACACCAUGGUAGAAACAAUCACUAUACUCUUGUUCAUAAGGAUAAAAAUAUUACUUUGCUUCCUAUGACUCCUGAUUCCAUUUUGAAAGAUGAUAUUAAUAGAGCUAAUAAAGCACAACAGGAGAAGAAUAAGAGUGAAAAUCAGAUUGUGGCAAAAGAAUUUGAGCAACAAAUGAAGCCUAAUAAUAAACCAUCUAGUGUUGCUUCUGAAAUUAAAUUGAAAAGUGCAUGUUUAUUUGCCACCAAAUCUGAUAUUGAUGAGCUAGAUUUCAGCAAAUCUGUUUGCUAUGCUUUUGUGUGCAAAGAGGCAUUAUUUUCAUUCGAGGACGUGCCUUCCUCUUUGCCUCCAGCUGUCACUAACAUUUUGCAGGAGUUCGCUGACGUUUUUCCACAAGACGUGCCACCGGGAUUACCGCCUAUUCGAGGGAUUGAGCAUCAGAUUGACUUAAUUCCCGGUGCUUCACUGCCAAACCGUGCACCAUACCGUACCAAUCCAGAGGAGACGAAGGAGAUUAUGCGUCAAGUACAAGAGCUUCUCGACAAAGAUGCGGCUCGUCGCUAUCUUCAAUUUGAGUACUCACGGAGCCAAAACGGACUUCGUAUGAGGAAGAUAAACCUGUUUUACUGA